GAGGGUAUAGCUCAGUGGUAAAGUGCAUGCUUAGCUUGCAUUACUUCCUGGGUUCAGUCCCCAGUACUUCUG
Molecule: transfer RNA, 72 nt
Filed under: Camelus ferus (Wild Bactrian camel)
Lineage: Eukaryota; Metazoa; Chordata; Mammalia; Artiodactyla; Camelidae
Rfam family: tRNA
About the family: Transfer RNA (tRNA) molecules are approximately 80 nucleotides in length. Their secondary structure includes four short double-helical elements and three loops (D, anti-codon, and T loops). Further hydrogen bonds mediate the characteristic L-shaped molecular structure. tRNAs have two regions of fundamental functional importance: the anti-codon, which is responsible for specific mRNA codon recognition, and the 3' end, to which the tRNAs corresponding amino acid is attached (by aminoacyl-tRNA synthetases). tRNAs cope with the degeneracy of the genetic code in two manners: having more than one tRNA (with a specific anti-codon) for a particular amino acid; and 'wobble' base-pairing, i.e. permitting non-standard base-pairing at the 3rd anti-codon position.
Source: Rfam by way of RNAcentral